AGUCGACGAGCGAUAGAGUGCGGAGAUCUCUGAAAACCCCUAGCAUUGUGUGGUUGAGUUUGCAACGAAUGUCUCAGCAACCAUUGGGCAUGUGGCUCACGGAAAGUCUACUGUUGUCAAAGCUAUAUCUGGUGGUGUGCAGACUGUUCUUUUAUUACCAGCAGUCAACAUCGAUAAGGCUUUUGAGUCACCACACACUCACAGUAACUGCUUUACAUAUCUGAGUCAUUUUCCAAAGCUGCUUAGUGACAUCCAAAGAGUAGUAUAUCCUACCC
Molecule: long non-coding RNA, 275 nt
Organism: Raphanus sativus (radish)
Lineage: Eukaryota; Viridiplantae; Streptophyta; Magnoliopsida; Brassicales; Brassicaceae
Exons: 3
Source: RefSeq, a predicted model, not a curated record